This 1346-nucleotide ribosomal RNA is filed under the name uncultured bacterium. RNAcentral's name for it is "partial 16S ribosomal RNA". It matches the Rfam family "Bacterial small subunit ribosomal RNA", at positions 28 to 1381 of the family's 1533-position model. The record is from RNAcentral.
GACGAACGCUGGCGGCGUGCUUAACACAUGCAAGUCGAACGGAAAGGCCCUGCUUUUGUGGGGUGCUCGAGUGGCGAACGGGUGAGUAACACGUGAGUAACCUGCCCUUGACUUUGGGAUAACUUCAGGAAACUGGGGCUAAUACCGGAUAGGAGCUCCUGCUGCAUGGUGGGGGUUGGAAAGUUUCGGCGGUUGGGGAUGGACUCGCGGCUUAUCAGCUUGUUGGUGGGGUAGUGGCUUACCAAGGCUUUGGCGGGUAGCCGGCCUGAGAGGGUGACCGGCCACAUUGGGACUGAGAUACGGCCCAGACUCCUACGGGAGGCAGCAGUGGGGAAUAUUGCACAAUGGGCGGAAGCCUGAUGCAGCAACGCCGCGUGCGGGAUGACGGCCUUCGGGUUGUAAACCGCUUUCGCCUGUGACGAAGCGUGAGUGACGGUAAUGGGUAAAGAAGCACCGGCUAACUACGUGCCAGCAGCCGCGGUGAUACGUAGGGUGCGAGCGUUGUCCGGAUUUAUUGGGCGUAAAGGGCUCGUAGGUGGUUGAUCGCGUCGGAAGUGUAAUCUUGGGGCUUAACCCUGAGCGUGCUUUCGAUACGGGUUGACUUGAGGAAGGUAGGGGAGAAUGGAAUUCCUGGUGGAGCGGUGGAAUGCGCAGAUAUCAGGAGGAACACCAGUGGCGAAGGCGGUUCUCUGGGCCUUUCCUGACGCUGAGGAGCGAAAGCGUGGGGAGCGAACAGGCUUAGAUACCCUGGUAGUCCACGCUGUAAACGGUGGGUACUAGGUGUGGGGUCCAUUCCACGGGUUCCGUGCCGUAGCUAACGCUUUAAGUACCCCGCCUGGGGAGUACGGCCGCAAGGCUAAAACUCAAAGGAAUUGACGGGGCCCCGCACAAGCGGCGGAGCAUGCGGAUUAAUUCGAUGCAACGCGUAGAACCUUACCUGGGUUUGACAUGGAUCGGGAGUGCUCAGAGAUGGGUGUGCCUCUUUUGGGGUCGGUUCACAGGUGGUGCAUGGCUGUCGUCAACUCGUGUCGUGAGAUGUUGGGUUAAGUCCCGCAACGAGCGCAACCCUUGUUCACUGUUGCCAGCACGUUAUGGUGGGGACUCAGUGGAGACCGCCGGGGUCAACUCGGAGGAAGGUGGGGAUGACGUCAAGUCAUCAUGCCCCUUAUGUCCAGGGCUUCACGCAUGCUACAAUGGCUGGUACAGAGAGUGGCGAGCCUGUGAGGGUGAGCGAAUCUCGGAAAGCCGGUCUCAGUUCGGAUUGGGGUCUGCAACUCGACCUCAUGAAGUCGGAGUCGCUAGUAAUCGCAGAUCAGCAACGCUGCGGUGAAUACGUUCCCGGGGCU